CACGCCCCACUUUUCUCCUCCUUUUAUAACAACGUCAAACGUCUUAUCCAAAAGAAAGGAUAAAGAUGAGUAAUUGCACAUUUGAAUUCAAAUUAAAUUUUGAAUUCAAAUGGACACCAACUCAUCCCUUAUCCACUAAAGGUGUGAGGCAUGGCUUAAAUUAUGCAUGGAGUAAUUUUAUGAGAAAUCUUUUAUCAUGUAAUAAAUGGGACAUAAAAAAAGGGAUAAGGUGCAAAGAUUGAUUGCCCAUUCAAAUUCAAACUUUAUUUUGAAUUUGAAUGGCCAACCAAUCAUCCUUAUCCAUUCAUUUGGCACAUUAAAGUGGGGCAUGGAGAGGGCUUGGCGUGAGGAAAUAAUUCAUGAGAAGUUCCUUCUCAUGAAUUCAAAUGGGUGCAAUGGANNNN
This 404-nucleotide long non-coding RNA is filed under the name Elaeis guineensis (African oil palm). RNAcentral describes it as "long non-coding RNA (EGUI_LNC072696)". The record is from RNAcentral. Lineage: Eukaryota; Viridiplantae; Streptophyta; Magnoliopsida; Arecales; Arecaceae.